Molecule: ribosomal RNA, 879 nt
Filed under: uncultured bacterium
Lineage: Bacteria
Description: bacterial SSU rRNA
Rfam family: Bacterial small subunit ribosomal RNA
Source: RNAcentral
AGAGUUUGAUCCUGGCUCAGGAUGAACGCUGGCGGCGUGCCUAACACAUGCAAGUCGAGCGAUUCUCUUCGGAGAAGAGCGGCGGACGGGUGAGUAACGCGUGGGUAACCUGCCCUGUACACACGGAUAACAUACCGAAAGGUAUGCUAAUACGAGAUAAUAUGCUUUUAUCGCAUGGUAGAAGUAUCAAAGCUUUUGCGGUACAGGAUGGACCCGCGUCUGAUUAGCUAGUUGGUAAGGUAACGGCUUACCAAGGCGACGAUCAGUAGCCGACCUGAGAGGGUGAUCGGCCACAUUGGAACUGAGACACGGUCCAAACUCCUACGGGAGGCAGCAGUGGGGAAUAUUGCACAAUGGGCGAAAGCCUGAUGCAGCAACGCCGCGUGAGCGAUGAAGGCCUUCGGGUCGUAAAGCUCUGUCCUCAAGGAAGAUAAUGACGGUACUUGAGGAGGAAGCCCCGGCUAACUACGUGCCAGCAGCCGCGGUAAUACGUAGGGGGCUAGCGUUAUCCGGAAUUACUGGGCGUAAAGGGUGCGUAGGUGGUUUCUUAAGUCAGAGGUGAAAGGCUACGGCUCAACCGUAGUAAGCCUUUGAAACUGGGAAACUUGAGUGCAGGAGAGGAGAGUGGAAUUCCUAGUGUAGCGGUGAAAUGCGUAGAUAUUAGGAGGAACACCAGUUGCGAAGGCGGCUCUCUGGACUGUAACUGACACUGAGGCACGAAAGCGUGGGGAGCAAACAGGAUUAGAUACCCUGGUAGUCCACGCCGUAAACGAUGAGUACUAGCUGUCGGAGGUUACCCCCUUCGGUGGCGCAGCUAACGCAUUAAGUACUCCGCCUGGGAAGUACGCUCGCAAGAGUGAAACUCAAAGGAAUUGACGG